Small nuclear RNA from Selaginella moellendorffii, 161 nucleotides. It matches the Rfam family "U1 spliceosomal RNA". From Rfam's summary of the family: U1 is a small nuclear RNA (snRNA) component of the spliceosome (involved in pre-mRNA splicing). Lineage: Eukaryota; Viridiplantae; Streptophyta; Lycopodiopsida; Selaginellales; Selaginellaceae. The record is from Rfam.
AUACUUACCUGGACGGGUUCUAUUGGUGAUUAUGAAGGCCAAUGGCUUAGGUUCGGCUUUCCCAUUGCACUUCGGCUUGGCCGGCCUACCAUCUUCCCAAAGUGGAGGAGUGGACGUCGUAAUUUGUGGAAGCUGAGGGCUCGCGUACGCGCGGCCCUCUC